AAUUUAUGUUCUUUUUUUGUAAAUCUGUUUUUUUCCAAGAUUAUUUGUCCGGUAUAGAAUUAUAGAAGUGGAAUUAGAGGAGUGAUCUCUUAAGUUAGAUUGUUUUCUUUAUUAGUUUUUAAAUGGGAACAUUUAAUUUUUUACCAUCAGGUUGUUUUUACAUAUUUACUGUCUUUUGUUUGAGUUGUAUCGCAACUUACAAGUUUAAAAUGUUGAAGUUUUGAACAGAGACAAGGGAUUAUUUAAAAUAUAAGCAUUUUUUAAUUCAAAAUAGCUCGUGUUUUUCCAUUUAUGAAUGUUUUACUAAUUACAAUCGGUAUAUGGGAUAAUUAUAUUGUCAUUGUAAAUUAUGUGGAUAAAUUAAUUUAAAAAUUUAUACUGCCAGUUCAAUAUUGUAUUCCAGCAUUAUAACAUUUUUGGUUGUUGGAUUUUUGUGUCAUAAUCUCUAUUGCAAUAUCUAUUAAGGAACAAAGAAGGAAUUUUGAAAGGGGAUCAUAUUUCAAAUGCACAGUGGGGCUCUUUUGAUUUCACAUUUGUGUUCAUUUUAUUACCUAUAUUCCCACGGGGAAAACAUGAUGAAUACUAAUUUUUAUUGUUUUUAAAAAUAACACCUUCUAGAAUUCUACAAAUGCAGAUGGCAAUUAAUUGUUAGAUUAUUUCUCUUGAUUCCUCAGUCUUAUUAUUACUUUUUAUUUAUUCAACAAAUAUUUACCUAUAUAUGUUUGGCAUGCUCUAAGUACUAGGGUUGCAACAAACACAUUUCUAUAAAAAAGUAAAGUAUGUUAUGUACAUAUAUUCAGGCUCAGAGGUAAAUAAUCUGCCAAUGAAAUCUAAAAAAUUAGUAUAAUCGACUAGGAGAUUGAUUGUGAUUUUUUUUUUUAAACAUUCAUACGUUUUCCAAACUGGUUCUACUUAGAAAAAAGUAGGAGUUCCUUGUGGAAACUUUAGUUUCUCAUUGCUAAUAAUAUUUAUUCAUUGUUUGGUAAAUAUUAAUAAAUUACUUAAAUUUAUUUGCAACUCUCCCAUA
RNAcentral lists this small RNA (1027 nucleotides) under Pan troglodytes (chimpanzee). Its description in RNAcentral is "sense intronic". The record is from RNAcentral. Lineage: Eukaryota; Metazoa; Chordata; Mammalia; Primates; Hominidae.